This is a non-coding RNA of Cucurbita pepo subsp. pepo (vegetable marrow), 426 nucleotides long. The record is from RefSeq and is a predicted model, not a curated record. Lineage: Eukaryota; Viridiplantae; Streptophyta; Magnoliopsida; Cucurbitales; Cucurbitaceae.
AAUCUCAAAAAUAGGAGGGGAAUGGCAUCCGACGUAAAAAAGCCAUCGUUCUGAGGGUAUUUUGGGGAUAUAGCGGACUCAACCGCCCUUUCCUGUCCUCCCAUUGUUUGCCGCUAUUUUACAAUUUCCGGUCAGCCUUUUCCCUCGACAACACCCACGAAAAAUUUCCCGUUCUUCAUCUCUUUCGGUCAAUUUAAAAUCCUUAAAACUUCCCUAAAAUUCUCUCCAAUUUCGUGCUUUUCAUCCAUGGCUUCACGCAGGCGCAUACUUUUGAAAGUCAUUAUCCUUGGCGAUAGUGGCGUGGGGAAGACAUCGCUAAUGAAUCAGUAUGUGAAUCGUAAGUUUAGCAAUCAAUACAAGGCGACCAUUGGAGCAGAUUUUCUCACGAAGGAAGUUCAGCUCGAUGACAGGUCAUUCACAUUACAA